ACACUGGUAGUUCAGUGGAAGGAAUCUUGCCUUCCAUGCAGGAAACUCAGGUUCGAUUCCCAGCCAGUGCA
RNAcentral lists this transfer RNA (71 nucleotides) under Loxodonta africana (African savanna elephant). It matches the Rfam family "tRNA". From Rfam's summary of the family: Transfer RNA (tRNA) molecules are approximately 80 nucleotides in length. Their secondary structure includes four short double-helical elements and three loops (D, anti-codon, and T loops). Further hydrogen bonds mediate the characteristic L-shaped molecular structure. tRNAs have two regions of fundamental functional importance: the anti-codon, which is responsible for specific mRNA codon recognition, and the 3' end, to which the tRNAs corresponding amino acid is attached (by aminoacyl-tRNA synthetases). tRNAs cope with the degeneracy of the genetic code in two manners: having more than one tRNA (with a specific anti-codon) for a particular amino acid; and 'wobble' base-pairing, i.e. permitting non-standard base-pairing at the 3rd anti-codon position. Lineage: Eukaryota; Metazoa; Chordata; Mammalia; Proboscidea; Elephantidae. The record is from Rfam by way of RNAcentral.